GGUUAAGUUAGAAAGGGCGCACGGUGGAUGCCUUGGCACUAGGAGCCGAAGAAGGACGGGACUAACACCGAUAUGCUUUGGGGAGCUGUACGUAAGCGUUGAUCCAGAGAUUUCCGAAUGGGGGAACCCACUAUCUUUAGUCGGAUAGUAUCCUUACGUGAAUACAUAGCGUGAGGAAGGCAGACCCAGGGAACUGAAACAUCUAAGUACCUGGAGGAAGAGAAAGAAAAAUCGAUUUCCUGAGUAGCGGCGAGCGAAACGGAAAGAGCCCAAACCAAGAAGCUUGCUUCUUGGGGUUGUAGGACACUCUAUACGGAGUUACAAAAGAAAGUUAUAAAUGAAGCGGUCUGGAAAGGCCCGCCAAAGACGGUAACAGCCCGGUAGUUGAAAUGGCUUUCCCUCCAGAGUGGAUCCUGAGUACGGCGGAACACGUGAAAUUCCGUCGGAAUCCGGGAGGACCAUCUCCCAAGGCUAAAUACUCCCUAGUGACCGAUAGUGAACCAGUACCGUGAGGGAAAGGUGAAAAGCACCCCGGAAGGGGAGUGAAACAGUUCCUGAAACCGUGUGCCUACAAGUAGUUAGAGCCCGUUAAUGGGUGAUAGCGUGCCUUUUGUAGAAUGAACCGGCGAGUUACGAUUUGUUGCAAGGUUAAGCGGAAAAAGCGGAGCCGUAGCGAAAGCGAGUCUGAAUAGGGCGCAUAAGUAACAGGUCGUAGACCCGAAACCAGGUGAUCUACCCAUGUCCAGGAUGAAGGUAAGGUAAUACUUACUGGAGGUCCGAACCCACGCACGUUGAAAAGUGCGGGGAUGAGGUGUGGGUAGCGGAGAAAUUCCAAUCGAACUUGGAGAUAGCUGGUUCUCUCCGAAAUAGCUUUAGGGCUAGCCUCGAGGUAAAGAGUCAUGGAGGUAGAGCACUGUUUGGACUAGGGGCCCUUCUCGGGUUACCGAAUUCAGAUAAACUCCGAAUGCCAUGUACUUAUACUCGGGAGUCAGACUGCGAGUGAUAAGAUCCGUAGUCGAAAGGGAAACAGCCCAGACCACCAGUUAAGGUCCCCAAAUAUAUGUUAAGUGGAAAAGGAUGUGGGGUUGCUUAGACAACCAGGAUGUUGGCUUAGAAGCAGCCACCAUUGAAAGAGUGCGUAAUAGCUCACUGGUCGAGUGACCCCGCGCCGAAAAUGUACCGGGGCUAAACAUAUUACCGAAACUGUGGAUGAACCUCUUUAGAGGUUCGUGGUAGGAGAGCGUUCUAAGGGCGGUGAAGUCAGACCGGAAGGACUGGUGGAGCGCUUAGAAGUGAGAAUGCCGGUAUGAGUAGCGAAAGAAGGGUGAGAAUCCCUUCCACCGAAUAUCUAAGGUUUCCUGAGGAAGGCUCGUCCGCUCAGGGUUAGUCGGGACCUAAGCCGAGGCCGAUAGGCGUAGGCGAUGGACAACAGGUAGAGAUUCCUGUACCAGUGCUAAUUGUUUAACCGAUGGGGUGACACAGAAGGAUAGGGAAUCGCACGAAUGGAAAUGUGCGUCCAAGCAGUGAGUGUGAGAAGUAGGCAAAUCCGCUUCUCGCGAAGCAUGAGCUGUGAUGGGGAAGGAAAUUAAGUACGGAAGUUCCUGAUUUCACGCUGUCAAGAAAAGCCUCUAGGAAGAGUAGUACUGCCCGUACCGCAAACCGACACAGGUAGAUGAGGAGAGAAUCCUAAGGUGAGCGAGAGAACUCUCGUUAAGGAACUCGGCAAAAUGACCCCGUAACUUCGGGAGAAGGGGUGCUCUAUUAGGGUGCAAGCCCGAGAGAGCCGCAGUGAAUAGGCCCAGGCGACUGUUUAGCAAAAACACAGGUCUCUGCAAAACCGUAAGGUGACGUAUAGGGGCUGACGCCUGCCCGGUGCUGGAAGGUUAAGAGGAGUGCUUAGCUUCGGCGAAGGUACGAAUUGAAGCCCCAGUAAACGGCGGCCGUAACUAUAACGGUCCUAAGGUAGCGAAAUUCCUUGUCGGGUAAGUUCCGACCCGCACGAAAGGCGCAACGAUCUGGGCACUGUCUCAACGAGAGACUCGGUGAAAUUAUAGUACCUGUGAAGAUGCAGGUUACCCGCGACAGGACGGAAAGACCCCGUGGAGCUUUACUGCAACCUGAUAUGGAAUGUUUGUACCGCUUGUACAGGAUAGGUAGGAGCCGAAGAGACGUGUGCGCUAGCAUACGAGGAGGCAAUGGUGGGAUAC
RNAcentral lists this ribosomal RNA (2207 nucleotides) under Listeria monocytogenes. RNAcentral describes it as "partial 23S ribosomal RNA". It matches the Rfam family "Bacterial large subunit ribosomal RNA", at positions 1 to 2200 of the family's 2925-position model. Lineage: Bacteria; Bacillati; Bacillota; Bacilli; Caryophanales; Listeriaceae. The record is from RNAcentral.